This 253-nucleotide ribosomal RNA is filed under the name uncultured bacterium. Its description in RNAcentral is "partial 16S ribosomal RNA". It matches the Rfam family "Bacterial small subunit ribosomal RNA", at positions 524 to 776 of the family's 1533-position model. The record is from RNAcentral.
UACGAAGGGGGCUAGCGUUGUUCGGAUUUACUGGGCGUAAAGCGCACGUAGGCGGAUUGGUCAGUUAGGGGUGAAAUCCCAGAGCUCAACUCUGGAACUGCCUUUAAUACUGCCAGUCUAGAGUCCGGAAGAGGUAAGUGGAACUCCUAGUGUAGAGGUGGAAUUCGUAGAUAUUAGGAAGAACACCAGUGGCGAAGGCGGCUUACUGGUCCGGUACUGACGCUGAGGUGCGAAAGCGUGGGGAGCGAAUGGG